RNAcentral lists this transfer RNA (91 nucleotides) under Fibroporia radiculosa. It matches the Rfam family "tRNA". Rfam says of the family: Transfer RNA (tRNA) molecules are approximately 80 nucleotides in length. Their secondary structure includes four short double-helical elements and three loops (D, anti-codon, and T loops). Lineage: Eukaryota; Fungi; Basidiomycota; Agaricomycetes; Polyporales; Fibroporiaceae. The record is from Rfam by way of RNAcentral.
GGGCGUUUGGCACAGUGGUAGCGCGCCUGCUUUGCAUCGAGGGUGAUGACAACACUGCAUGAGGUCGAGGGUUCAAACCCCUCAACGUCCA